CUUUGCUGGCGACCGGCGCACGGGUGAGUAACACGUAUCCAACCUGCCCUCUACUCGGGGAUAGCCUUUCGAAAGAAAGAUUAAUACCCGAUGGCAUAAUGAUUCCGCAUGGUUUCAUUAUUAAAGGAUUCCGGUAAAGGAUGGGGAUGCGUUCCAUUAGGUUGUUGGUGAGGUAACGGCCCACCAAGCCUUCGAUGGAUAGGGGUUCUGAGAGGAAGGUCCCCCACAUUGGAACUGAGACACGGUCCAA
Molecule: ribosomal RNA, 250 nt
Filed under: uncultured bacterium
Lineage: Bacteria
Description: partial 16S ribosomal RNA
Rfam family: Bacterial small subunit ribosomal RNA
Source: RNAcentral